This is a long non-coding RNA of Panicum virgatum (switchgrass), 1377 nucleotides long. RefSeq lists it as uncharacterized. The transcript has 5 exons. The record is from RefSeq and is a predicted model, not a curated record. Lineage: Eukaryota; Viridiplantae; Streptophyta; Magnoliopsida; Poales; Poaceae.
ACGGCGCAUCGGAGGAACCGCGACGUGCGGGACUCCGUGGUGGCGCCGUAAUCGCUGCUGUGCGUAAGGGCCAGCGCUCUGCUGCCGCUGUCUGCGCGCGCGGGCGGCGGGCCUGCGUCCAGCUACCGCCGCCGGCAACGGUGACUCCUGUCCAAUGGGGCGUCAAGCAGGGACGGGUCGUCAGCGAGCGCCGAGCGGCCGCGGCCGAUGGUGGUGCCGCUAUCGCCGCCAGUACGCGAGGGCCGGCGCUCCGCCACCGCCGGCGCCGGCGUGCGAGGCACCGCUCUGCUACCCUGCCCUCCCACCGUACCGGGCCUCAUCAGGUGCUUUCUCCCACAUCUAUUGCUCGCCGCCCCCGCCUACUCACGUCCUUCCUGCAAUCCUGCGACCUCUCUCCCAGUGAUUGUUCUGAUUUGUUUCUCGGGCAUGCCGGUGGUCAAUGGUUGUCGCUGUGCGCAUGGCGCAACGCUCAUAGGUUCUCCCGGCCAUGAGUGCAUGUACAAGACGAGUUAUACAGUGAGUGCGGAGGUGAUGCCCACCAGCGCUCUCCUUGAUCCCACAGUUGCGUUGCUCUUUGCUGGGUUGGUGCCACCGUGCCAGGCUGUCGAGCAGCGCUCCUCAACAUUUAAAUGCACGCACCAUGGCUGCAGCUCGCAAGGUGUUCGGUAGAGUGCUCACAAGGAGGCUUAGGAGACCAAUGUGUUAGGAUGGUGGAUGGGGGCUGUUUGGUCUGACCGUUGUUGUCUAACCACGUCAAGAGCACGCUUGCUCCUCCUCCAGAUCAGAUUGUUUCCCCCCUCCACCUUCAUUGACUGAUUUAGUCUCACAAUGGCCUGAGAUCCCCAAAUCUGUGAUACUAAUAAGACAAACAAUGUCUGAGCAAAAUGGAGGAGAUCAACUUGCUCUUUCAUGGCCUGAAAAUUGGUCCAUGAAGUUUCCGGCAAUGAAAUUUCAGUUCUGAAUUCAACUUAACACCAUAUGCUAAAUUGAGACUUUGCAGAGUCAUAAAAAAUCAAGGUUAUGGGCACAAGUUUCACAGUGGCGACAAGACCGGUCGAAUCAAGCUAUAUAUAUGUGUGUGGCAUACUUUCAAGGAUAUAUAUUUGCUGUCCAUCUGCUUUUAGUAGAUUUGUACAUGCUUCUGUUAGCUCCAUUGGCUAAAUACAAGCAAGCACCUGGCGGUGGUGACAUUCGUUGAUUGCCAGGUGCCAACCAAUAUAAUCAAUUACCAUUUUUCUGUAAUUCUUUCCCUAAGCAUGAUGGUAUAUUAAUCUCCAUUAAAAUACGUACUGUGUCAUAAACUUACAUUUCCUGUAAACUAAAUUAAAUUUCAUAUCCUGUACUAUCUUUGCUUAACUAUACUAUACUCUUUAAAUA